This 364-nucleotide ribosomal RNA is filed under the name uncultured bacterium. Its description in RNAcentral is "partial 16S ribosomal RNA". It matches the Rfam family "Bacterial small subunit ribosomal RNA", at positions 282 to 658 of the family's 1533-position model. The record is from RNAcentral.
GGUAGCCGGCCUGAGAGGGUGACCGGCCACACUGGGACUGAGAUACGGCCCAGACUCCUACGGGAGGCAGCAGUGGGGAAUAUUGCACAAUGGGCGCAAGCCUGAUGCAGCGACGCCGCGUGRGGGAUGACGGCCUUCGGGUUGUAAACCUCUUUCAGCANGGACGAAGNGNNANUGACGGUANNUGNAGAAGAAGGACCGGCNAACUACGUGCCAGCAGCCGCGGUAAUACGUAGGGUNCGAGCGUUGUCCGGAAUUACUGGGCGUAAAGAGCUCGUAGGUGGUUUGUCRCGUUGUUCGUGAAAACCCACAGCUUAACUGNGGGCGUGCGGGCGAUACGGGCAGACUGGAGUACUGCAGGGGA